GACGAACGCUGGCGGCGUGCUUAACACAUGCAAGUCGAGCGGUAAGGCCCCUUCGGGGGUACACGAGCGGCGAACGGGUGAGUAACACGUGGGUGACCUGCCCUCAGCUCUGGGAUAAGCCUGGGAAACUGGGUCUAAUACCGGAUAUGACUCCAUGACGCAUGUCGUGGGGUGGAAAGCCUUGUGCGGCUGGGGAUGGGCCCGCGGCCUAUCAGCUUGUUGGUGGGGUGANGGCCUACCAAGGCGACGACGGGUAGCCGGCCUGAGAGGGCGACCGGCCACACUGGGACUGAGACACGGCCCAGACUCCUACGGGAGGCAGCAGUGGGGAAUCUUGCGCAAUGGGCGAAAGCCUGACGCAGCGACGCCGCGUGAGGGAUGAC
RNAcentral lists this ribosomal RNA (383 nucleotides) under uncultured bacterium. RNAcentral describes it as "bacterial SSU rRNA". It matches the Rfam family "Bacterial small subunit ribosomal RNA", at positions 28 to 412 of the family's 1533-position model. The record is from RNAcentral.